GGUGGUUCCCGGGUGACACACCCCGGAAUCAGACUCCCUCCUCUGUCGUUCUGGGUGCGUCACCCAAGAACCGCA
Myotis lucifugus (little brown bat) is the source of this 75-nucleotide non-coding RNA. Lineage: Eukaryota; Metazoa; Chordata; Mammalia; Chiroptera; Vespertilionidae. The record is from Rfam.